ACCUCCCUUUCCACCUGCUCUUGUAAAGCUGAUAUCCAAGUCUUCUUCGGGAAUUUCAACAUUUGUUGAGUCUUCAGGAAGAAGAGGCAUAACUUCAAUGCCAGUGAAGCUUGUCUGCACAGUGGCCACUUCAAAAAUUUAUGUGUUGUCCAUGUAUGUAAACGACAAGAUUCUUUUGCUAUGAAGAUAGAAAAACAGAUAUAUCAUACUAAGAUGCACGAUAUCAUAAUAAAGUGGUUAAUGAAACAAUGAUACAUUGCUCAUUUUUUACUAGUGUUGUUCUUAAAGGCUCGUUUAAGCACGCUUAAGCCCUGGAACUUGAUGAAAACCAGCUUCAUCUGGCUUAAUUGGCCCUUUAGUGUAGGUGUCAAAGUGCUAAGGUGUCUGCACUCCAAAAACAGGUUUAGUUUUUUUAGGUUAGAAUGAACUUUUUAAAGUUAACUUGUUUCUAAAAAUAAAUUAAGUAACCCUCCUUAUUUUAAACAUCAACAUCAGGAUCUGAGAUCAUGUGGUCCCCUUAUAUGAUCAUGAAUCCUACUAGAAUUUGUUCAUUUGAUAUGUCAUUUGAGUGUCUUGUAUUUAGGCAUAUUACAGUCCUUAUUUGUAUGAGUCCAACUUGUAUAUCUUCAGUGAAUUACAUGAUAAAGAAGGGGUUUAAUUUUCAUAGUACUAUUUCAUGAAUCAUAUCUAUCGAGACGUCACGCUACAUUUGUCUAUACAUGUUUUAGGUUAGUAUAUGGAUUUUAAAUAGUCCUUCCUAUUUACAAUGAGGACUCUCGCAAAUCCCUAUAUGAAAUUCAAAGAUUAACUGAUCUAUCAGGUGCACCUAUCAUUCGAGGACGAAUGAUCAUAAGAGGGGGAGGAUGAACACCCCGUAUUUUACGUGUACUGGUUUUAUUUAUAUAACGCAUUAAACUGCCUUGUGGUAUGGUUAUGGAUUCGAUUUCCUAUGCGACUAGUGGCAAUAGAAUAGGUUUAAGUGAACUUUCCAUAGAUUUUAAUGCGACCCAAUUAAGUUGAUAUCGAUGGAAGUAUUUAAACUUUAGAUCAUAAGGUGGUAUUUGAGUCUAAAGUAUAAAGUGACAUAGUGUAUAUAAGUUCUAAGUUAUAUUAAAGUUAUUAAGGUCUCGAAAUGGAAUAAAACAUUGAGGUGCUUGCUUGACUUCACUUCUAGUAGGUGAUAGUAGGUGCGUCACCUACUUUGACUUAUUGACCAACCAAAGGACCAAGUAGGUGCAUCACCUACUUGACUUAUUGACCAACCAAAGGACCAAGUAGGUGCAUCACCUACUAAGACUCUUUUGACCAUGUUAUUGGGCCAAGUACACUACCUAUUUGCAUUAAUUUAGCCCAAGUUGAACAGAAGAAUAAGGGGAAAUGGACAGCCAAGGCCCAAUCUUCCCAAGCCCACAAGAAAUAAUUUUAAUGGAAAACUAGGUGAAUCACCUACUUAAAUGUGUGGCCCAAAUUAUAGACAGUUGUUGGCUGCAAAUGAAGUACAAGAAAGGUGGCAAAAGGGCCAAUGUUCUUAAGACCAAACAGUCCAAAUGAAAAGUCCAAGUAGGUGGGUCACCUACUUGACAAAUUAUGGCCCUAAAUGAGUGAGAAAGUCGGCCAAAGCAGGGUGCCUUUAAAAGAGAUUGAUAUCAGCUUUUUCCAACCAUUUUUACUUUGACAAAAAAUCUGAUUACUAGAGCUUUAUCUCUUCUCUCUCUUAGAUUCAUACAACAACCAUUAAAUACCAUUAGGUUCUUGAAUAAUAGGUAUUUUCAAGCUAUUGAAAGGUGUAAUUUAAGACUAGUUAAGGAGGACAACUUUUACAUUGAAGAAUCCAAGUUUUAGCAAGCCGUAGUUAUGUCCAGCAAGAUCAGUGAUCUGAAGAGAAGGAGCUUAAGUCAAUACUUUUUGAAUUGUAUAGCAAGGUAUGUAAGGCUAUUUGAUUUCUUAUUUCUUUGGCAUGAAUCCAAAACUUGCAUUACAAAAAGUAAGCUUUCUAAGUGCCCUUGGUAGUGACUGAUCCAUAGUUGCAGUUCCUACUCUAAUAUGAGUUUGUUACUAAAUGUGCGUGUUUACUCUAUCAAGUGUUAGCAUGCAAGGUUUAAACUUGUUUCAUUGUCAAAUUACCCAUGGCAUGUAUCCCCGUUACAUAAGUCAAAGUGAUCGUAGACUACACAUGGUACAAUCUGCCUAUAUCAUGCCAACUUGCUUCCAUUGUUUAUAGAUAUGUCAUCUUGUCACAUGUUCAUAUGUUCCCUUCUUUGUUAUUACUCACAUUGUGUUAGACUAUAAUGUUACCUCACAGGAUCACUACUAGCUCAAUUGUACGUUUAUAUGUACUUACUUGGAAUAUGUCUCCGUCCUUAAGUUGAAUCUGCCCACAUUCCCCCUUGGUUCCACAUUCAUGAACACCUUGUAUUUGUAUCAUAUGAAGUUCAAAUCUCUUGGUUGAAUGUCAAAUUGUCUUCACUAGAUGUGCUUUGAUUUGAGAUAUCAAAAUGCUUACCGAGUCAUAUAGGCUCCUAAGUACUACGUUCAAGUCACAUUUGCUUCCCAUGUCAUUAUUAAUAUCGUAAGUUCAUAUUCAUAUGUCUUCUACUACUGGUCUGUAGAUCCAAAUCUAAACCAGGAUUAUGACCACCAAAACAACAAUCACAAACAAGUUAUGAACAUCAAAAUAACAAUAUCAAAAGAGUUACGAUUAUCUAAAGAACAAUCCCAAAAGAGUUAUGAACUGAUAAACAACAAUCUCAAAGAUGAAAGAAUCUAAGUGAAGUAAUCAAUAUGAUUAUGAGUGACAGCUCAGGGGCGAAAGCUUAGCAUGGGCCGAUCCCGAUUGGUAUAACAGGGUGGCAACCCAGGGGCAAAAACCUAGCAUGGGCCGAUCCCAAUUGGUAUGGAAGGGUGACAGCUCAGGGGGCGCAAGCCUAGCAUGGGUCAUCCUCUUCUACCGUGAUCAGCUGGUCAUUUGUAUCAUAUGUUGUAUAAAGAUUAUAAAAAGUACAGAAAUUUAAAGAAAAGAAUGUAACAUGCACGAUUCCACAAGUACAAAGCAAAGGUGGUCUCUAAUCCUUAUCUAUUGGUAUUUGGUUUCACUUGAGCUCAUGUUAAUUAUGCCUUACAUAUUCAGUACAUUCUUUCGAACUGACGUCCCUUAUUGGGGACGUUGCAUUUCAUGUUGCAGGUACAAGUACUCAACUAGUGGAUCUUUCCAAUAGAAGCACAUUAUACUCAGCGGAUGUUGGUGAGCUCCAGGUCGAUUCGGGGCUUUGCCGAGUCUUUACUAUGCGUAUUUUCAUAUGGUACCAUCAUGGAUUCCAGAAGAGGCUUUGUAGACAUUGUAAAGCUACCAUCUGUAUUCAUAGUUUCACUUAUCACAUAUAGCGGUUCAGCUAGUCAAAAUGUGUUGCAUAUGAAGCUUCUCAUCAGUAAUCUGCAUAGUAGUGUACUUUCUCAUCAUAGAUUACUUGUAAAGCAUGUGUUCAUAAGGUAUUAUUCCGCCUCACCUAGGGUUGAGGUGUGAAAAAAGUGUUGGAAAGAGUUUUCAAAAGCGGAAUGCACAAAAGUGCCAAAAUAUAUUUAAGUUUAAAGCACAAGGGCAAUUAAAGCACGAGCUUUAGCGAAGAAAAACGUUAUAAAGAAAAACAAAACUGUAAACGUGUUUGGCACCACUCACUGAUAUAACCAUUUGAUGCAACUUUCACACUUUCAAGAAAUCUAAUUUACAAAAUGCGAGGACGGGGUAUUUUUUAAAAACAAAAUGAGCAUAUAUUUUUUUCGAUGACAAGGGAAACUCGCAGCCGCUACUCUUUUGGGUGUGCACAGGGUAAAACCCCACUCCUAUGCAAUAGCUCGCAAACCACAUAGGAGAGGUAACCCGCACUAGGAAAGCCUGGUACGACGAGCUCGACUCAGAAGGCAAAUCCCUUGCUUACGCUGACAAGCGGUUUCGAACUUGAGACCUCCAACAUGGAAGUCCCAAGCUCAAACCACUGGGCCACCCUUACAAAAUGAGCAUAUUUUGAAUAAAAUCAAAGCUCAUUUAUUGAACUACAUCAGGAAAAAAUGUGCAUCAUGAUGUGACCAUUUAAGCUAAAGACAAGACAUUCUACACAACUUGCCACAUUCAACAAUGGACCCUCACUAGACAAGCGAGGGGAAGGGGGGAGAUCUCCAAAGUCCCCACAAAAUGGCCAUUAGGCUACAACAAUUGGGAGAUUAUGCCCAAAGAAUAUAAAAGAAUAGAAACUGGAAAUACUUGUGAAACAAAUCGAUCAACCACCACUACUUUUAAGUUUGCACUUAAGAUUAAUCAACACAAUAAACUCAUACAAGCUCUUGCUCUUUGGACCUAACAUGUGGUGUCAACAUGCUGCUCUGUCAAUCCUUUACGAAAUUCCACCAUAUGACUCAUAAAUUUAAUGCCACGAUAGUUCAUACAACUUCAAAUAUCUCCUCUGUUCUUAUAAAAUAUAAAUCAAGUUACUCUAUCACUUCCUGGUACAACAUUGAAAAUGCUUGGUUAGUAAUCCUACUCCAACUUUUCCGAGCAACUCACAAACCUCUAUAGAGACACAAUUGGACCAGAAUUUUCUAGUUCUCAUAUUUUUCAAUGCAUCUUUUACCUCUGUGGCCUAAUUUUAUGAGUGCGGCUAAAAGCUUAUAUUGUGUACAAAUAUAUAAAGAUCCAAAAUGUUAUAAUCGUUGCUCGAGUUGAAAAUUGAUCAAAAUAGCAUCUCUCCAUUUAUCUCAUUAUGUACACUUGUUUAAGUCCUUACGCUUCUUCUCUCUUAACCAUGAUAGUUUAAACAUGUCAUUCUCUCAUUCUUGUGUCCUUAACAUUUGGUAAAAUCCAUCUAAUGUUUUUCCCUAGAUUUAUACUAAUAACCUUCUUACAAUUAAUUUUUCUCUUGGCUCUCUUAUACUAUUCAACGUCUUCCUCUUUUUCGUCUGAUAACUUCCUAUAACACUUUCUUUAGCUCUAUUAACUCUUAGGGCUCGUUUGGUGUGAAGGAUAAUACCAAAUAGUCGUGGGAUUAAAUUACAAUACCAAUUAAUUUGUUGUUUGGUUGGCAAGUCCGGGAUGACUUAUCCCGGGAUUAAUAAUUACUACGGGAUAAGUUAUCCCUCCCCUUGGGUGGUAUAGUAAUACCGGGAUAACUUAUCCUGGGAUAAACUAAGUAAAUCACAAAAAUGUCUCUUUCAACCCUUUUGUUAUAUCACUUUUUACAUUCAUGAAGGGCAAUUUAUAAACAAACAAAUUGUACUAAAAAUUUAUUAUUUUGAAUACAACAAACCAAACACUCAAUAAAAUAUAAUCUCAUCAUAAUUAAUCUUAUCAUAACUUGAAUUCAAACCAAACGACCCCUUUGUAUCUCCUUAUACUAACACUAGGAUUCUUGUGGUUGAAAAACUAUCUUUAGACUUGCCUAACACAUCAUUUUUAUUUUCUUACUACAAUUGGGUUUCCACUGGAUGUCAGUGUCCCCCUAUAAGUCAAUGUCACUCCUAUAGUUUUUUCUUGAAACGCUAAUUGGUUACCGUUCUUCAAUUCCAACCCUCAAACAUGUGGUUCUAUCAUGUCUCUUAGAAAGGAUGAAGUUUAUUUGACUAUGAUUACCCUACUAUUAAAUGUUAUCAGGCGAGAGUAUCCCUUUUUAAAAUGUGUUUGCUUAGACUAAACCAUAAGCUAGGGUGAACUCUUCUUUCAUCACCCCUAGUACCAUAACCGUAUCCCCCAUGGACAAUUUUACAUGUUCAAAACCGUCAUAUGUUUGCUUGGAGUCACUUGAACCAAGGUAUCCAUAUCUUGACAAAAAGUUAGUUUUAGCUUCUGCAUCUAAUCCUAUUGGCAGAGCGUACGCACUAAUGACAUUAAGUGUUCUCAUUUACGCAUGCAAGACAUAAUGAAAUAAUAGUAUCCGAACAACCUUAAUCCUUAAGUUCUUGUUCUACAAUAGUUCCCACCCCAUUACUAUUUUUACCCCGACCAUUUAGUUUCAUGUAGUUAUGCAAUAUAGCUUUCCUCCUUUUUAAGGUUUCUACUAAUUCCAUCAACUUUCCAAUCAAAAAUCCUAUGUUCAAGCUUCUACUCAAGUUCAACUCUCUUGGACUAGCUUUCCUACCCUCAUUAGUUGAUUAUGCGGGAACCCUUCCCUAUUUUGUAACAUAUCCAGGAUGUGGCCAUACUAGCUUCUUUACAUACAUUUGUCCAUGACAUGGGACCCUUUCCUAUGUUGUACCACAUCAAGGUGUUGAUGUGGCAGUACUAACAUCUUUACUCAUACCCACCAGGCGACCACUGAUGCAGGAACCGCAGUUCAUAUUCCGUCACAUCCAAUUGGUAAUUUGACAGAAUCACUACCUUAUUUUUCAUCACAUCCAGGCGGCGAUGUAAUGUGUUCCUUGAUGAGCAUGUCCCAAUGAUACUAUUGUGAGAAUUCAUCAUGAACUGGCUUUUUAUGCUAGUUCUCACCCUUUAUUCGGACUUGGGACUAACAAUGUAAGCAAGCUCACACGGUAUGGUUAUCAUGCUUAUGGACUUUUAGUGUGAAGUAGCCCACUCAAACUCAUACGAAAUCUUUCAUAUACGUGUGAGUAUCU
Molecule: long non-coding RNA, 6600 nt
Filed under: Solanum lycopersicum (tomato)
Lineage: Eukaryota; Viridiplantae; Streptophyta; Magnoliopsida; Solanales; Solanaceae
Description: partial TCONS_00065728
Source: RNAcentral